GACGCCUUAAUCCACCCAGCACAAGUCCUUUGAAACCUGAAAUUGAGAAAUCAAAUUAGCAGCAAGGUUGAGAAAAAAAAAUCGCUUACGAAGCAAUUUCCUAUCCCUAGUAAUUUAUUCAAUUAGAGAACGUUCAUGAUUAAAACCUUCCUUAAAUUAUCUUUGUGUCGACUUUGUUAAAGGAAUUUAAGAGAUUUAGAGACUUCGCCUUGCCUUAACCAAAGAAAAUCCACCAGCGGCUUCUAAGAUUAAAUCCGAAGUUGUCUUAAUUAGCUGCGGCCAAUUAAUUAUCACUAAUUCUAAGCUUAAUUGAGAAACUCGAUUCCUCAAUUUGCACUUAAAUGAUGAUAGGGAAAAUUCCCAAUUUAAUUAGGUGAUCACUCCAAUUGAAUUAGAAAAAUUCCUUGAAAGAUAAAAUCAAACAAUUCAAGAAUGCCGAAUUUGAUUUGAUAGCAAAAUAAAUUUUUCAAAGUACUUGUGCCAGGUUUCAUGAGUGUCUAACUAAGCUUAAAUAAACUAGCCACUCAUAGCAAACGAAAUGAGACAAAAAUCAAUUGUAAACAACACAAAUUACAGACU
RNAcentral lists this long non-coding RNA (579 nucleotides) under Gossypium raimondii (Peruvian cotton). Its description in RNAcentral is "long non-coding RNA (GRAI_LNC008509)". The record is from RNAcentral. Lineage: Eukaryota; Viridiplantae; Streptophyta; Magnoliopsida; Malvales; Malvaceae.